AUACGUAGGUGGCAAGCGUUAUCCGGAAUUAUUGGGCGUAAAGAGGGAGCAGGCGGCAGCAAGGGCCUGUGGUGAAAGCCUGAAGCUUAACUUCAGUAAACCAUAGAAACCAGGCAGCUAGAGUGCAGGAGAGGAUCGUGGAAUUCCAUGUGUAGCGGUGAAAUGCGUAGAUAUAUGGAGGAACACCAGUGGCGAAGGCGACGAUCUGGCCUGCAACUGACGCUCAGUCCCGAAAGCGUGGGGAGCAAAUAGGAUUAGAUACCCUAGUAGUCCACGCCGUAAACGAUGAGUACUAAGUGUUGGAUGUCAAAGUUCAGUGCUGCAGUUAACGCAAUAAGUACUCCGCCUGAGUAGUACGUUCGCAAGAAUGAAACUCAAAUGAAUUGGCGGGG
Molecule: ribosomal RNA, 392 nt
Filed under: uncultured bacterium
Lineage: Bacteria
Description: partial 16S ribosomal RNA
Rfam family: Bacterial small subunit ribosomal RNA
Source: RNAcentral